UGCAGUCGACGAUUAAACUUGCCUUCGGGCAAGAUAUAAAGUGGCGCACGGGUGAGUAACACGUAAGUAAUCUACCUUCGAGUGGGGAAUAACGUCCGGAAACGGACGCUAAUACCGCAUAAUGCAGCGGCAUCGCAAGAUGACAGUUGUUAAAGAAUUUAUUCGCUUGAAGAGGAGCUUGCGGCAGAUUAGCUAGUUGGUAAGGUAAUGGCUUACCAAGGCUACGAUCUGUAACCGGUCUUAGAGGACGGUCGGUCACACUGACACUGAAUAACGGGUCAGACUCCUACGGGAGGCAGCAGUCGGGAAUUUUGGGCAAUGGGCGAAAGCCUGACCCAGCAACGCCGCGUGAAGGAUGAAGUAUUUCGGUAUGUAAACUUCGAAAGAAUGGGAAGAAUCAAUGACGGUACCAUUUAUAAGGUCCGGCUAACUACGUGCCAGCAGCCGCGGUAAUACGUAGGGACCAAGCGUUGUUCGGAUUUACUGGGCGUAAAGGGCGCGUAGGCGGCAAUUCAAGUCAUCUGUGAAAUCUCCGGGCUUAACUCGGAACGGUCAGAUGAUACUGCUUUGCUAGAGUGCAGAAGGGGCAAUCGGAAUUCUCGGUGUAGCGGUGAAAUGCGUAGAUAUCGAGAGGAACACCUGAGGUGAAGACGGGUUGCUGGGCUGACACUGACGCUGAGGCGCGAAAGCCAGGGAGCAAACGGGAUUAGAUACCCCGGUAGUCCUGGCCCUAAACGAUGAAUACUUGGUGUCU
This 754-nucleotide ribosomal RNA is filed under the name uncultured bacterium. Its description in RNAcentral is "bacterial SSU rRNA". It matches the Rfam family "Bacterial small subunit ribosomal RNA", at positions 56 to 825 of the family's 1533-position model. The record is from RNAcentral.